GGGUAACAUGCCCUAAGGUGGGGGAUAAUCUCGGGAAACUGAGGAUAAUACCCCAUAGGUCUGAUAUGCUGGAAUGCUUUCAGGCCGAAAACUCCGGUGCCUUAGGAUUGGCCUGCGGUCUAUCAGGCUGUAGUGGGUGUAAUGGACCCACUAGCCCGUGACGGAUAUGGGCCUUGAGAGAGGGAGCCCAGAGAUGGACUCUGAGACAUGAGUCCAGGCCCUACGGGGCGCAGCAGUCGCGAAAACUUCGCAAUGGGGGCAACCCCGACGAGGGAAUUCCAAGUGCCAGCACUUUGUGUUGGCUGUUCUCCUGUCUAAAAAACAGGAGGAGUAAGGGGCGGGUAAGACGGGUGCCAGCCGCCGCGGUAAUACCCGCGCCCCUAGUGGUGGUCGAUAUUAUUGAGCCUAAAACGUCCGUAGCCGGCCUUCUAAAUCCUUGGGUAAAUCGGGCAGCUUAACUGUCCGAAGUCCGGGGAGACUGGGAGACUUGGGACCGGGAGAGGUCAGAGGUACUUCUGGGGUAGGGGUAAAAUCCUGUAAUCCUGGAAGGACCACCGGUGGCGAARGCGUCUGACUAGAACGGAUCCGACGGUGAGGGACGAAGCCCUGGGGCGCAAACGGGAUUAGAUACCCCGGUAGUCCAGGGUGUAAACGCUGCGGGCUUGGUGUUGGGGGUCCUUAGUGGGCGCCCAGUGCCGGAGAGAAGUUGUUAAGCCUGCUGCUUGGGGAAUAUGUCCGCAAGGAUGAAACUUAA
This 754-nucleotide ribosomal RNA is filed under the name uncultured archaeon. RNAcentral's name for it is "bacterial SSU rRNA". It matches the Rfam family "Archaeal small subunit ribosomal RNA", at positions 102 to 859 of the family's 1478-position model. The record is from RNAcentral.